Molecule: long non-coding RNA, 842 nt
Organism: Herpailurus yagouaroundi (jaguarundi)
Lineage: Eukaryota; Metazoa; Chordata; Mammalia; Carnivora; Felidae
Exons: 3
Source: RefSeq, a predicted model, not a curated record
ACGUGGAUACUUCUUCCAUCUGGGGUCCAGAUAAAAUCUGAAUGAAAGUAACAGGACACCAGAAGUGUUGCAGGAUUUUUUUAUCGCAAUACCUGGGAUUUGUUGUCUCGCAGCUUCGAAGAAUAAAGAGGGCUCAAAACCUUUACACAAAAGCCAGCCAAAUGUUCCUAAUUCUAGGGAACAUGUUAUUUUAGCCUUCAUGAUGAUGACUCAACCCUGUGCCUCACUGCUAUGUAAGAUUCCAACAGAGAUGACAUUUUGCAAUCCAGAGAAGCAACAUGUCCCCUGUCUGGAGGUGAACUGAGAAAUAGUUCGCUUCAAAUGGGCCUCUAAACAGCUGUCAGAUUCAGAGGAGAAUCACGCAUUGCAGCAUCCAGCUUAACUCGUAUUUCUGAAUAUACUACAACUCACCAUAUUCACCCCCCCCCCCCCCCCCCACGCGUUGGCCAAGAACUAGCUAGGUUCAAGUGUAACUUAACCACUUAUUUUGACUCUUCCCAUUCCUGACCCAACUUAAAACUCUUAAUUGUUCCAAGUAUCUUACCCAUGAAUUGUUUUAUACUGCCUCAGAGGACGAGACUUCCACACCCAUGAAUGGGUUUUGCAAGAAACUGAUAUUGGACCACGGGUAUUUCUUUACUCCUGGAAGAUCGUGAGAAGAAAGUCGGCUCCAGAGUAUGUUCAUCUUGUUAGUAGACCUGCAAAGAGCCCAAGUAUCACCCACCAAACUAACCUCAGUCACCUGAAGGAGGUUUGCAACAAUAGCUGUAACAUUCCCUUCCCUCUAUCGUAGACUACACAAUGUGACUUUGCACUGUCUUCCAUCUUGAGGUGGAGUCUAG